CGCCGAAAACAAUGAGUGCUAGCUGUUGGGUGAUUUACCAUUCAAUGGCUCAGCUAACGCAUUAAACACUCCGCCUGGGGAGUACGGUCGCAAGAUUAAAACUCAAAAGAAUUGACGGGGGCCCGCACAAGCGGUGGAGCAUGUGGUUUAAUUCCAUGCAACGCGCAAAACCUUACCAGCCCUUGACAUGUACAGGACGAUAUCAGAGAUGGUAUUUUCUUUUCGGAAACCUUUACACAGGUGCUGCAUGGCUGUCGUCAGCUCGUGUCGUGAGAUGUUGGGUUAAGUCCCGCAACAAGCGCAACCCCUGCCUCUAGUUGCCAUCAAGUUUAGGUUUUUACCUAGAUGUUGGGUACUUUAUAGGGACUGCCGGUGAUAAGCCGGAGGAACGUGGGGAUGACGUCAAGUCCUCAUGGCCCUUAUGGGCUGGGCUACACACGUGCUACACUGGUGGUUACGAUGGGUUGCCAAUUCACGAGGCGGAGCUAAUCCCAAAAAGCCAUCUCAGUUCACGAUUGCACUCUGGAACUCGAGUGCAUGAACUCGGAAU
Molecule: ribosomal RNA, 550 nt
Filed under: uncultured Candidatus Liberibacter sp.
Lineage: Bacteria; Pseudomonadati; Pseudomonadota; Alphaproteobacteria; Hyphomicrobiales; Rhizobiaceae
Description: bacterial SSU rRNA
Rfam family: Bacterial small subunit ribosomal RNA
Source: RNAcentral